GUCAUCCUCGUCAUCUUUUUUGCCAAAUCGGGCCCUCAAAACGCGGCUGAUGGAACUCACUAAUGGCAACAAAAAGAAUGGUACAAAAAUGGCACAGGAAAAGUUUUCACAUGAAGCAGCAGCGUUUGGAGAAAAAUAUUCAUCACAAGGGAGCAAAUGUUAUGAACUGACGGAGCACUGAAGCCACAUUUCAACAGGACAUGUACAUACCACCACUCACCCUGGGCUUGCUGCCCCCUAUAGCCCCCGGACGGAUCGAGCCAGUCUCCUGGUACCGGCACAGAAUCUUGG
Molecule: long non-coding RNA, 291 nt
Organism: Poecilia latipinna (sailfin molly)
Lineage: Eukaryota; Metazoa; Chordata; Actinopteri; Cyprinodontiformes; Poeciliidae
Exons: 3
Source: RefSeq, a predicted model, not a curated record